RNAcentral lists this ribosomal RNA (403 nucleotides) under bacterium. RNAcentral describes it as "partial 16S ribosomal RNA". It matches the Rfam family "Bacterial small subunit ribosomal RNA", at positions 355 to 776 of the family's 1533-position model. The record is from RNAcentral.
UGGGGAAUAUUGCACAAUGGAGGGAACUCUGAUGCAGCGACGCCGCGUGAACGAAGAAGGCUUUCGAGUCGUAAAGUCCUUUUAUAUGGGCAGAUAAUGACGGUACCAUAAGAAAAAGCCCCGGCUAACUACGUGCCAGCAGCCGCGGUAAUACGUAGGGGGCUAGCGUUGUCCGGAAUCACUGGGCGUAAAGGGUUCGCAGGCGGAAAUGCAAGUCAGGUGUAAAAGGCAGUAGCUUAACUACUGUAAGCAUUUGAAACUGCAUAUCUUGAGAAGAGUAGAGGUAAGUGGAAUUUUUAGUGUAGCGGUGAAAUGCGUAGAUAUUAAAAAGAAUACCGGUGGCGAAGGCGACUUACUGGGCUCAUUCUGACGCUGAGGAACGAAAGCGUGGGUAGCAAACAGG